AUACGGAGGAUCCAAGCGUUAUCCGGAUUUAUUGGGUUUAAAGGGUGCGCAGGCGGAAGAUUAAGUCGGCGGUGAAAUUUUGCAGCUUAACUGUAAAAGUGCCAUCGAUACUGGUUUCCUUGAGGGUGGAUGAAGUAGGCGGAAUUUGUGGUGUAGCGGUGAAAUGCAUAGAUAUCACGAGGAACUCCGAUUGCGCAGGCAGCUUACUAGGCCAUAACUGACGCUCAGGCACGAAGGCGUGGGGAUCAAACAGGAUUAGAUACCCUGGUAGUCCACGCAGUAAACGAUGAUUACUCGCUGUUUGCGAUACACAGUAAGCGGCUUAGCGAAAGCGUUAAGUAAUCCACCUGGGGAGUACGUUCGCAAGAAUGAAACUCAAAUGAAUUGGCGGGG
RNAcentral lists this ribosomal RNA (393 nucleotides) under uncultured bacterium. Its description in RNAcentral is "partial 16S ribosomal RNA". It matches the Rfam family "Bacterial small subunit ribosomal RNA", at positions 523 to 918 of the family's 1533-position model. The record is from RNAcentral.